This 432-nucleotide ribosomal RNA is filed under the name Triticum aestivum (bread wheat). RNAcentral's name for it is "partial small subunit ribosomal RNA". The record is from RNAcentral. Lineage: Eukaryota; Viridiplantae; Streptophyta; Magnoliopsida; Poales; Poaceae.
AUGAACUGCAGUGCCUGCGUCCCCGUUGACCCUCGUCCACGCCAACGCGGGCCAGCCUCCACCGACGCCUCCCUCUGGCCCAGAUCCACAGCGCCCCGAGGGAGGCCCAGAUCUCGUCGGUGGCCAAUGUAUGCGGCAGCCGGCGACACACGGUGGGGAGAGAUGGUUUGGAGGGUGGCGCGUGGCGACUGGGGACGCACGGUGGGGAUAGAUGGUGGAGGAGGGUGGCACGCGCCUCGCCCAGGCCUCCUUCCACGCCGCAGCGGCGGAGUCCAAGCGCUCAUCAUGAGGACGCACGGGCGAGGAGGAUUUGGCGAGCUCCGGCGAGCUUCGACGCCGAUUCGUUUGGCUCCGGCGAGCUCAUCCCCCUCCUACAGAGGGCGUCUUUUAAAUCCUUGGCCCGACAUUUUUUUAACACUUGACGCAAUGUAA